AUUGAACGCUGGCGGCAGGCCUAACACAUGCAAGUCGAGCGGAUGAAGGGAGCUUGCUCCUGGAUUCAGCGGCGGACGGGUGAGUAAUGCCUAGGAAUCUGCCUGGUAGUUGGGGAUAACGUCCGGAAACGGGCGCUAAUACCGCAUACGUCCUGAUGUAGAAAGUGGGGGAUCUUCGGACCUCACGCUAUCAGAUGAGCCUAGGUCGGAUUAGCUAGUUGGUGGGGUAAAGGCCUACCAAGGCGACGAUCCGUAACUGGUCUGAGAGGAUGAUCAGUCACACUGGAACUGAGACACGGUCCAGACUCCUACGGGAGGCAGCAGUGGGGAAUAUUGGACAAUGGGCGAAAGCCUGAUCCAGCCAUGCCGCGUGUGUGAAGAAGGUCUUCGGAUUGUAAAGCACUUUAAGUUGGGAGGAAGGGAAGUAAGUUAAUCCCUUGAUGUUUUGACGUUACCAACAGAAUAAGCAACGGCUAACUUCGUG
RNAcentral lists this ribosomal RNA (484 nucleotides) under uncultured bacterium. RNAcentral describes it as "partial 16S ribosomal RNA". It matches the Rfam family "Bacterial small subunit ribosomal RNA", at positions 30 to 507 of the family's 1533-position model. The record is from RNAcentral.